Molecule: ribosomal RNA, 469 nt
Filed under: uncultured bacterium
Lineage: Bacteria
Description: bacterial SSU rRNA
Rfam family: Bacterial small subunit ribosomal RNA
Source: RNAcentral
ACUCCUACGGGAGGCAGCAGUGGGGAAUAUUGGACAAUGGGGCAACCCGUGAUCCAGCCAUGCCGCGUGUGUGAAGAAGGCCUUCGGGUUGUAAAGCACUUUCAGUAGGGAGGAAAGGUUGUACGUUAAUACCGUGCAGCUGUGACGUUACCUACAGAAGAAGCACCGGCUAACUCCGUGCCAGCAGCCGCGGUAAUACGGAGGGUGCGAGCGUUAUCCGGAUUUAUUGGGUUUAAAGGGUCCGUAGGCGGGUUAAUAAGUCAGUGGUGAAAUCCCAUCGCUUAACGAUGGAACUGCCAUUGAUACUGUUAGUCUUGAAUGAGGGUGCAGUGGUUGGAAUGUGUAGUGUAGCGUGAAAUGCAUAGAUAUUACACGAACACCGAUUGCGAAGGCAGAUCACUAACCCUAAAUUGACGCUGAGGGACGAAAGCGUGGGGAGCGAACAGGAUUAGAUACCCUGUAGACUGUC